Molecule: non-coding RNA, 77 nt
Organism: Sporisorium reilianum SRZ2
Lineage: Eukaryota; Fungi; Basidiomycota; Ustilaginomycetes; Ustilaginales; Ustilaginaceae
Source: Rfam
UUGAGCUGUAUGCGAUGAAAGUCGCACGUACAGUUCUUGGAGGGGGAAAGAUUCGUGAGAAUCCGACCUAUCUCAAC